UACGGAGGGAGCUAGCGUUGUUCGGAAUUACUGGGCGUAAAGCGCGCGUAGGCGGCUUUUUAAGUCAGGGGUGAAAUCCUGGAGCUCAACUCCAGAACUGCCUUUGAUACUGAGGAUCUUGAGUUCGGGAGAGGUGAGUGGAACUGCGAGUGUAGAGGUGAAAUUCGUAGAUAUUCGCAAGAACACCAGUGGCGAAGGCGGCUCACUGGCCCGAUACUGACGCUGAGGCACGAAAGCGUGGGGAGCAAACAGG
This 253-nucleotide ribosomal RNA is filed under the name uncultured bacterium. RNAcentral describes it as "partial 16S ribosomal RNA". It matches the Rfam family "Bacterial small subunit ribosomal RNA", at positions 524 to 776 of the family's 1533-position model. The record is from RNAcentral.